GGGAUAAUAAAUCUAUCAUCAUGGGUAUAAUAACUACCCACAAUGGUUAAUCAUUGGUAUAGUAACUAAGGCACUUUAAGGUAGACCAUUUACCAUGAUGCUGACAGUCCAAUAACAACCCAACAUGUGUCCUUAAUAGAGGAUGAUGGAGUGAUUAUCCAGUCUCUGCCACUUGAUCUUUUACAAUCAUGCUGGAGGAGUUUCAGAACUUUCUAUCCACAAGAUGACAAGUGGCUUAGCCACUCACUCCACUCCCUCCUCCAUUAAGCAAGAUCCGUGAUCUCAGUAACUUUAGGAUAUACGAGUUGUUAUUCUCUGAUAGCCAGAAUAUGUCUCCAAAGCCACUACUC
RNAcentral lists this long non-coding RNA (350 nucleotides) under Elaeis guineensis (African oil palm). Its description in RNAcentral is "long non-coding RNA (EGUI_LNC037208)". The record is from RNAcentral. Lineage: Eukaryota; Viridiplantae; Streptophyta; Magnoliopsida; Arecales; Arecaceae.